RNAcentral lists this ribosomal RNA (226 nucleotides) under uncultured bacterium. Its description in RNAcentral is "partial 16S ribosomal RNA". It matches the Rfam family "Bacterial small subunit ribosomal RNA", at positions 118 to 341 of the family's 1533-position model. The record is from RNAcentral.
UGAGGAACAUGACCUUCGGCGGGGGAUAGCCGGCCCAACGGCCGGGUAAUACCGCGUACGACCACAUGGGGACAUCCCUGAGUGGUGAAAGCAGCAAUGCGCCGAUGGAGUGCCUCGCGGCCUAUCAGCUAGUUGGUGAGGUAAUGGCUCACCAAGGCGACGAUCGGUAGCUGGUCUGAGAGGAUGAUCAGCCACAUUGGGACUGAGACCACCGGCAAAACCUCCG